RNAcentral lists this ribosomal RNA (468 nucleotides) under uncultured organism. RNAcentral describes it as "partial 16S ribosomal RNA". It matches the Rfam family "Bacterial small subunit ribosomal RNA", at positions 335 to 799 of the family's 1533-position model. The record is from RNAcentral.
ACUCCUGCGGGAGGCAGCAGUGAGGAAUAUUGGACAAUGGGUGGAAGCCUGAUCCAGCCAUCCCGCGUGCAGGAAGACGGCCCUAUGGGUUGUAAACUGCUUUUAUCUGGGGAUAAACCUACUUACGUGUAAGUAGCUGAAGGUACCAGAAGAAUAAGCACCGGCUAACUCCGUGCCAGCAGCCGCGGUAAUCCGGAGGGUGCAAGCGUUAUCCGGAUUUAUUGGGUUUAAAGGGUCCGUAGGCGGACUGAUAAGUCAGUGGUGAAAUCCGACAGCUUAACUGUCGAACUGCCAUUGAUACUGUUAGUCUUGAGUAAGGUUGAAGUGACUGGAAUAAGUAGUGUAGCGGUGAAAUGCAUAGAUAUUACUUAGAACACCAGUUGCGAAGGCAGGUCACUAAGUCUUAACUGACGCUGAUGUACGAAAGCGUGGGGAGCGAACAGGAUUAGAUACCCCUGUAGUCCCAUG